UACGGAGGGUGCAAGCGUUAUCCGGAUUCACUGGGUUUAAAGGGCUCGUAGGCGGUCUGUUGCGUCGGGAGUGAAAACUUACAGCUUAACUGUGAGCGUGCUUUCGAUACGGGCAGACUUGAGGCAUUCAGGGGAGAACGGAAUUCCUGGUGUAGCGGUGAAAUGCGCAGAUAUCAGGAGGAACACCAGUGGCGAAGGCGGUGCUCUGGGCCGGAACUGACGCUGAGGAGCGAAAGCGUGGGGAGCAAACAGG
Molecule: ribosomal RNA, 253 nt
Filed under: uncultured bacterium
Lineage: Bacteria
Description: partial 16S ribosomal RNA
Rfam family: Bacterial small subunit ribosomal RNA
Source: RNAcentral